Molecule: ribosomal RNA, 682 nt
Filed under: uncultured bacterium
Lineage: Bacteria
Description: bacterial SSU rRNA
Rfam family: Bacterial small subunit ribosomal RNA
Source: RNAcentral
CGGACGGGUUAGUAACGCGUGGGAAUAUGCCCGACACUAAGGAAUAGCCUCUGGAAACGGAGAGUAAUACCUUAUACGCCCUUCGGGGGAAAGAUUUAUCGGUGACGGAUUAGCCCGCGUUAGAUUAGAUAGUUGGUGGGGUAAUGGCCUACCAAGUCUACGAUCUAUAGCUGGUUUUAGAGGAUGAUCAGCAACACUGGGACUGAGACACGGCCCAGACUCCUACGGGAGGCUGCAGUGGGGAAUCUUGGACAAUGGGCGCAAGCCUGAUCCAGCCAUGCCGCGUGAGUGAUGAAGGCCUUAGGGUCGUAAAGCUCUUUCGCCAGAGAUGAUAAUGACAGUAUCUGGUAAAGAAACCCCGGCUAACUCCGUGCCAGCAGCCGCGGUAAUACGGAGGGGGUUAGCGUUGUUCGGAAUUACUGGGCGUAAAGCGUACGUAGGCGGAUUAGUCAGUUAGAGGUGAAAUCCCGGGGCUCAACCCCGGAACUGCCUUUAAUACUGCUAGUCUUGAGUUCGAGAGAGGUGAGUGGAAUUCCGAGUGUAGAGGUGAAAUUCGUAGAUAUUCGGAGGAACACCAGUGGCGAAGGCGGCUCACUGGCUCGAUACUGACGCUGAGGUGCGAAAGCGCGGGGAGCAAACAGGAUUAGAUACCCUGGUAGUCCACGCCGUAAACGAGGAGAAC